This 497-nucleotide ribosomal RNA is filed under the name uncultured bacterium. Its description in RNAcentral is "partial 16S ribosomal RNA". It matches the Rfam family "Bacterial small subunit ribosomal RNA", at positions 28 to 507 of the family's 1533-position model. The record is from RNAcentral.
GAUGAACGCUGGCGGCGUGCCUAAUACAUGCAAGUCGAGCGAACAGACGAGGAGCUUGCUCCUCUGACGUUAGCGGCGGACGGGUGAGUAACACGUGGAUAACCUACCUAUAAGACUGGGAUAACUUCGGGAAACCGGAGCUAAUACCGGAUAAUAUAUUGCACCGCAUGGUUCAAUAGUGAAAGACGGUUUUGCUGUCACUUAUAGAUGGAUCCGCGCCGCAUUAGCUAGUUGGUAAGGUAACGGCUUACCAAGGCGACGAUGCGUAGCCGACCUGAGAGGGUGAUCGGCCACACUGGAACGGAGACACGGUCCAGACUCCUACGGGAGGCAGCAGUAGGGAAUCUUCCGCAAUGGGCGAAAGCCUGACGGAGCAACGCCGCGUGAGUGAUGAAGGUCUUCGGAUCGUAAAACUCUGUUAUUAGGGAAGAACAAAUGUGUAAGUAACUAUGCACGUCGUGACGGUACCUAAUCAGAAAGCAACGGCUAACUACGUG